This 227-nucleotide long non-coding RNA is filed under the name Elaeis guineensis (African oil palm). RNAcentral's name for it is "long non-coding RNA (EGUI_LNC037046)". The record is from RNAcentral. Lineage: Eukaryota; Viridiplantae; Streptophyta; Magnoliopsida; Arecales; Arecaceae.
GCUUAGGCUGUUAGGAGAAUUUGUUAGGCCAUUUAGAAUUUGUUAGGCCAUUAGUUUAUUAUAAAAGAAUAGUUAGCUGUAUGGAGAUUACAGGCUAUUCACCCACGUGGCAAUUAGCUGUAGUAUAGCUGGAAGACAGUUAUUGUGGAGUUAGACAACAGUUGCAAUGGAGUCAUAGAGUGACUGUCGUUCUUCUAGAUUACAUUGGUUAUGGACCGAUGUACCUA